Molecule: ribosomal RNA, 253 nt
Filed under: uncultured bacterium
Lineage: Bacteria
Description: partial 16S ribosomal RNA
Rfam family: Bacterial small subunit ribosomal RNA
Source: RNAcentral
UACGUAGGGUGCGAGCGUUAAUCGGAAUUACUGGGCGUAAAGCGUGCGCAGGCGGUGAUGUAAGACAGAUGUGAAAUCCCCGGGCUCAACCUGGGAACUGCAUUUGUGACUGCAUCGCUGGAGUGCGGCAGAGGGGGAUGGAAUUCCGCGUGUAGCAGUGAAAUGCGUAGGUAUGCGGAGGAACACCGAUGGCGAAGGCAAUCCCCUGGGCCUGCACUGACGCUCAUGCACGAAAGCGUGGGGAGCAAACAGG